AACGAACGCUGGCGGUGUGCCUCAUACAUGCAAGUCGUACGCGAAUCCUGCCGCAAGGCAGGGUUUGAGUGGCAAACGGGUGCGUAACACGUAGGUAAUCUUCCUUUGAGUUGGGGAUAAGCCCUCGAAAGGGGGUCUAAUACCGAAUAACACUUCGGGCCGGCAUCGGCCUGAAAUUAAAGAUGGCCUCUGCUUGCAAGCUAUCGCUCGGAGAUGAGCCUGCGGCCGAUUAGUUAGUUGGCGGGAUAAAAGCCCACCAAGACUUCGAUCGGUAGCCGGUCUGAGAGGAUGUCCGGCCACACUGGGACUGAGAUACGGCCCAGACUCCUACGGGAGGCAGCAGUAGGGAAUAUUGCGCAAUGGCCGCAAGGCUGACGCAGCAACACCGC
Molecule: ribosomal RNA, 389 nt
Filed under: uncultured bacterium
Lineage: Bacteria
Description: bacterial SSU rRNA
Rfam family: Bacterial small subunit ribosomal RNA
Source: RNAcentral